GGCUGUGUGGUCCAGUGGUAUGAUUCUCGCUUAGGGUGCGAGAGCGAGAGGUCCCGAGUUCAAUUCUCGGCACAGCCC
Molecule: transfer RNA, 78 nt
Filed under: Perkinsus olseni
Lineage: Eukaryota; Perkinsozoa; Perkinsida; Perkinsidae
Description: tRNA-Pro
Rfam family: tRNA
About the family: Transfer RNA (tRNA) molecules are approximately 80 nucleotides in length.
Source: RNAcentral